Non-coding RNA from Bombyx mori (domestic silkworm), 143 nucleotides. Lineage: Eukaryota; Metazoa; Arthropoda; Insecta; Lepidoptera; Bombycidae. The record is from RefSeq and is marked provisional.
GUAUCUAAAUGUUUUCACGAACGACUUUUACGGUGAAGGAAUAACAUCAGAUUAUUCUACGUCUUAUAUGUGUAAUGCUGUAUUGACGGAAAUUUAGUUUGGAACAUUCCAGUCGUUCGUAGCGCCAUUUUGUUUUUAGAUGU